AAACUCCUACGGGGGGCAGCAGUGGGGGAUAUUGCACAAUGGGGGAAACCCUGAUGCAGCGACGCCGCGUGAGUGAAGAAGUAUUUCGGUACGUAAAGCUCUAUCAGCAGGGAAGAAUAAUGACGGUACCUGACUAAGAAGCCCCGGCUAACUACGUGCCAGCAGCCGCGGUAAUACGUAGGGGGCAAGCGUUAUCCGGAUUUACUGGGUGUAAAGGGAGCGUAGACGGCUGCGCAAGUCUGAGGUGAAAUGCCGGGGCACAACCCCGGAACUGCUUUGGAAACUGUACAGCUAGCGU
This 298-nucleotide ribosomal RNA is filed under the name uncultured bacterium. RNAcentral describes it as "partial 16S ribosomal RNA". It matches the Rfam family "Bacterial small subunit ribosomal RNA", at positions 333 to 647 of the family's 1533-position model. The record is from RNAcentral.